CCUACGGGUGGCAGCAGUGAGGAAUAUUGGUCAAUGGACGAGAGUCUGAACCGGCCAAGUAGCGUGAAGGAUGACUGCCCUAUGGGUUGUAAACUUCUUUUAUAUGGGAAUAAAAUGUUCCACGUGUGGGAUUUUGUAUGUACCAUAUGAAUAAGGAUCGGCUAACUCCGUGCCAGCAGCCGCGGUAAUACGGAGGAUCCGAGCGUUAUCCGGAUUUAUUGGGUUUAAAGGGAGCGUAGGUGGAUUGUUAAGUCAGUUGUGAAAGUUUGCGGCUCAACCGUAAAAUUGCAGUUGAAACUGGCAGUCUUGAGUACAGUAGAGGUGGGCGGAAUUCGUGGUGUAGCGGUGAAAUGCUUAGAUAUCACGAAGAACUCCGAUUGCGAAGGCAGUUCACUGGACUGCAACUGACACUGAGGCUCGAAAGUGUGGGUAUCAAACAGGAUUAGAUACCCUUGUAGUC
Molecule: ribosomal RNA, 460 nt
Filed under: uncultured bacterium
Lineage: Bacteria
Description: partial 16S ribosomal RNA
Rfam family: Bacterial small subunit ribosomal RNA
Source: RNAcentral